Molecule: ribosomal RNA, 451 nt
Filed under: uncultured bacterium
Lineage: Bacteria
Description: partial 16S ribosomal RNA
Rfam family: Bacterial small subunit ribosomal RNA
Source: RNAcentral
AACGAACGCUGGCGGCAGGCUUAACACAUGCAAGUCGAACGGGUGUAGCAAUACAUCAGUGGCAGACGGGUGAGUAACACGUGGGAACCUUCCUAGGGGUACGGAACAACUCAGGGAAACUUGAGCUAAUACCGUAUACGUCCGUGAGGAGAAAGAUUUAUCGCCCUUAGACGGGCCCGCGUCGGAUUAGCUAGUUGGUGGGGUAACGGCCUACCAAGGCGACGAUCCGUAGCUGAUCUUAGAGGAUGAUCAGCCACACUGGGACUGAGACACGGCCCAGACUCCUACGGGAGGCAGCAGUGGGGAAUCGUGGACAAUGGGCGCAAGCCUGAUCCAGCCAUGCCGCAUGAGUGAAGAAGGUCUUCGGAUUGUAAAGCUCUUUUGCCAGGGACGAUAAUGACGGUACCUGGAGAAUAAGCCCCGGCAAACUUCGUGCCAGCCGCCGCCGUAA